Molecule: ribosomal RNA, 467 nt
Filed under: uncultured bacterium
Lineage: Bacteria
Description: partial 16S ribosomal RNA
Rfam family: Bacterial small subunit ribosomal RNA
Source: RNAcentral
GACGAACGCUGGCGGCGUGCUUAACACAUGCAAGUCGAACGGAAAGGCCCUGCUUUUGUGGGGUGCUCGAGUGGCGAACGGGUGAGUAACACGUGAGUAACCUGCCCUUGACUUUGGGAUAACUUCAGGAAACUGGGGCUAAUACCGGAUAGGAGCUCCUGCUGCAUGGUGGGGGUUGGAAAGUUUCGGCGGUUGGGGAUGGACUCGCGGCUUAUCAGCUUGUUGGUGGGGUAGUGGCUUACCAAGGCUUUGACGGGUAGCCGGCCUGAGAGGGUGACCGGCCACAUUGGGACUGGGAUACGGCCCAGACUCCUACGGGAGGCAGCAGUGGGGAAUAUUGCACAAUGGGCGGAAGCCUGAUGCAGCAACGCCGCGUGCGGGAUGACGGCCUUCGGGUUGUAAACCGCUUUCGCCUGUGACGAAGCGUGAGUGACGGUAAUGGGUAAAGAAACACCGGCGAACUACGU